AUACUUACCUGGCAGGCAAGAUACCAUGAUCAUGAAGGUGGUUUUCCCAGGGUGAGGCUUAUCUGUUGCUCUCCGGAUAUGCUGACCCCUGUGGUUCCUCCAAAAAUGGGAAACUCAACUGCAUAACUUGUGGAAGUAGGGGACUGUGUUUGUACUCUCCCCUG
Nannospalax galili (Upper Galilee mountains blind mole rat) is the source of this 164-nucleotide small nuclear RNA. Its record names the gene U1. It matches the Rfam family "U1 spliceosomal RNA". From Rfam's summary of the family: U1 is a small nuclear RNA (snRNA) component of the spliceosome (involved in pre-mRNA splicing). Its 5' end forms complementary base pairs with the 5' splice junction, thus defining the 5' donor site of an intron. The record is from Ensembl. NCBI's taxonomy places the organism in Eukaryota, Metazoa, Chordata, Mammalia, Rodentia, Spalacidae.